This 929-nucleotide long non-coding RNA is filed under the name Cottoperca gobio. RNAcentral's name for it is "lncRNA (ENSCGOG00000001507.1)". The record is from RNAcentral. Lineage: Eukaryota; Metazoa; Chordata; Actinopteri; Perciformes; Bovichtidae.
GUGAGAUUGUAUUGGUUUCUACUUGUCCUUUUCCCUGCUUUGUCGCAUGAUCAGAUCAUAACCAUUUGAACAACGCAGCCCUGUCUCCCCUGGGUCCAGCCAUGGCCUUGUCUCACCCUCACAACAACCUGGGCAUUGGCUUCAACAAGUACACUUCGCUCAAGGCCGUGGACACGGCUGCGAGAGACUACUACAAGAGCUACCCGAUGGUAGAUUACACCCACCGCCAGUCCCCUCCCACAUUCCAGCCAAUCAACUUCCACCCCAAGGACAAGCCCUUCCUCCCGCCACCCGACAUCCACGCGCCACUGGCCAUCACCAUCAACACCUCCCAGAUCCCCAAGCCGAAGAUCUCCAAGACCAACACCCACCCGCUCACCUCCAGUUCGGCCUUCAAAGCAUGGGACCCCAGUAAGAGCCACAUCCAGCACCCUGUGGCCUCCCACAUUGGCCUCCAGCAGCAACAGCACCACCCCAUCCAGCAGCAGCACCAGUCGCUUCAACAGCAACACCACUCGCUGCAGCAGCAGCACCACUCGCUGCAGCAGCAGCAGCACCAGUCGCUGCAGCAGCAGCAGCACCAGUCGCUGCAGCACCAGCAGCAGCAGCUGCACCAAUCGCUGCAGCAGCACCAGUCGCUGCAGCAGCAGCAGCAGCAGCAGCAGCAGCAGCAGCAGCAGCAGCACCAGUCGCUGCAGCAGCAGCAGCAGCAGCAGCAGCACCAGUCGCUGCAGCAGCAGCAGCAGCAGCAGCACCAGUCGCUGCACCAGCAGAACAGCCGGCGCCAGGCCUACUCCAACAAGAGGCAGUUCAGCAUCGAGACGCUGCCCGAGCUCUUCUCGCAGCCGCUCGUCUACGGCCACUCACCGCACGUGCACCCCAAGCACAAGGGACUGCCCACCAACAGCAAGACAGAGGUCACUGUCUGA